This 465-nucleotide ribosomal RNA is filed under the name Vreelandella stevensii. RNAcentral's name for it is "partial 16S ribosomal RNA". It matches the Rfam family "Bacterial small subunit ribosomal RNA", at positions 338 to 795 of the family's 1533-position model. Lineage: Bacteria; Pseudomonadati; Pseudomonadota; Gammaproteobacteria; Oceanospirillales; Halomonadaceae. The record is from RNAcentral.
CCUACGGGAUGCAGCAGUGGGGAAUAUUGGACAAUGGGCGGAAGCCUGAUCCAGCCAUGCCGCGUGUGUGAAGAAGGCCUUCGGGUUGUAAAGCACUUUCAGUGGGGAAGAAAGCCUUGGGGCUAAUACCCUCGAGGAAGGACAUCACCCACAGAAGAAGCACCGGCUAACUCCGUGCCAGCAGCCGCGGUAAUACGGAGGGUGCGAGCGUUAAUCGGAAUUACUGGGCGUAAAGCGCGCGUAGGCGGUCUGAUAAGCCGGUUGUGAAAGCCCCGGGCUCAACCUGGGAACGGCAUCCGGAACUGGCAGGCUAGAGUGCAGGAGAGGAAGGUAGAAUUCCCGGUGUAGCGGUGAAAUGCGUAGAGAUCGGGAGGAAUACCAGUGGCGAAGGCGGCCUUCUGGACUGACACUGACGCUGAGGUGCGAAAGCGUGGGUAGCAAACAGGAUUAGAUACCCCAGUAGUC